AACGCGAAGAACCUUACCCAGACUUGACAUACAGGUGACCGCUCUAGAAAUAGGGCUUUCCUUCGGGACAGCUGUACAGGUGCUGCAUGGCUGUCGUCAGCUCGUGCCGUGAGGUGUUUGGUUAAGUCCAGCAACGAGCGCAACCCUUAUCAUUAGUUGCCAACACGUGAAGGUGGGAACUCUAAUGAGACUGCCUGGGUUAACCAGGAGGAAGGUGAGGAUGACGUCAAGUCCGCAUGGCCCUUAUGUCUGGGGCUACACACGUGCUACAAUGGUCGGUACAGAAGGCAGCGAAGCCGCGAGGUGAAGCAAAUCCCAAAAAGCCGACCUCAGUUCAGAUUGUAGUCUGCAACUCGACUACAUGAAGACGGAAUUGCUAGUAAUGGCGAGUCAGCAACAUCGCCGUGAAUACGUUCCCGGGCCUUGUACACACCGGUAUCUC
This 442-nucleotide ribosomal RNA is filed under the name uncultured bacterium. RNAcentral describes it as "bacterial SSU rRNA". It matches the Rfam family "Bacterial small subunit ribosomal RNA", at positions 958 to 1400 of the family's 1533-position model. The record is from RNAcentral.